This 463-nucleotide ribosomal RNA is filed under the name uncultured bacterium. Its description in RNAcentral is "bacterial SSU rRNA". It matches the Rfam family "Bacterial small subunit ribosomal RNA", at positions 30 to 490 of the family's 1533-position model. The record is from RNAcentral.
AUUGAACGCUGGCGGCAUGCCUUACACAUGCAAGUCGAACGGCAGCACGGGAGCAAUCCUGGUGGCGAGUGGCGAACGGGUGAGUAAUAUAUCGGAACGUGCCCAGUCGUGGGGAUAACGUAGCGAAAGCUACGCUAAUACCGCAUACGAUCUAUGGAUGAAAGCGGGGGAUCGCAAGACCUCGCGCGAUUGGAGCGGCCGAUAUCAGAUUAGGUAGUUGGUGAGGUAAAGGCUCACCAAGCCGACGAUCUGUAGCUGGUCUGAGAGGACGACCAGCCACACUGGGACUGAGACACGGCCCAGACUCCUACGGGAGGCAGCAGUGGGGAAUUUUGGACAAUGGGCGCAAGCCUGAUCCAGCAAUGCCGCGUGCAGGAUGAAGGCCUUCGGUUGUAACUGCUUUGUUACGGAACGAAACGGUGAGCUCUAAUACAGUUGCUAAUGACGGUACCGUAAGAAUAAG